RNAcentral lists this ribosomal RNA (303 nucleotides) under uncultured bacterium. Its description in RNAcentral is "partial 16S ribosomal RNA". It matches the Rfam family "Bacterial small subunit ribosomal RNA", at positions 507 to 807 of the family's 1533-position model. The record is from RNAcentral.
AGCAGUAGCCACGGUAAUACGUAGGUGGCAAGCGUUGCCCGGAUUUAUUGGGCGUAAAGCGAGCGCAGGCGGUUCCUUAAGUCUGAUGUGAAAGCCCCCGGCUCAACCGGGGAGGGUCAUUGGAAACUGGGGAACUUGAGUGCAGAAGAGGAGAGUGGAAUUCCAUGUGUAGCGGUGAAAUGCGUAGAUAUAUGGAGGAACACCAGUGGCGAAGGCGACUCUCUGGUCUGUAACUGACGCUGAGGCUCGAAAGCGUGGGUAGCAAACAGGAUUAGAUACCCGUGUAGUCCCUGUCUCUUAUAC